This 524-nucleotide long non-coding RNA is filed under the name Cicer arietinum (chickpea). Its description in RNAcentral is "long non-coding RNA (CARI_LNC001335)". Lineage: Eukaryota; Viridiplantae; Streptophyta; Magnoliopsida; Fabales; Fabaceae. The record is from RNAcentral.
GCAUAUAAGUACCUUUACUUUCCUUUUUUUUUUUUUUGCAUGACAGACCUUUGUUUUUAAUAAGGUUAACUGGCUAAGUAAUUGGAAGGCUAAAAACGAAUUUUUUGCUGGAAGGGUUGCUCUAUUCAAACUUAUGUUAUGCAAACAAUAAUGCCACCAAAGAGUACAUCCUUCAUCAAUGUCUUGAAGAAGUUAUUUUGUUCUGGUUUUGGAUAACCAAUCUCAAGCGCGAAUUUUUCAUAUAUUUUGACAUUGUAUAGCACCAUCAUCUUUGAGAUUCAAAUAGCAUAAGAAACUUUUCUUAAAUCUUAUUAAGUUAUGCAAAUUUCAUACUCCUUUCAAAUUUUGUUUUUCAAUUUGUCAUUUUUUCUGUUGGAUUUUCUUAGUGGCAAAUGUGGGUUACUAUUCGGACCAAAUAAUUAUUAGGCACCACUGACUUCUGUGUAUUGUAUUUUUAGUGAAUAUACAAUUUAAUCUUCGAAAUAGUAAGCAUUAAUUAAAUUUAUCUUUAAUUUUGUAAGUAC